GCAUAUAGUGUUGUCAAUAUCUGUUCUGUCCUAGCUGACCUGAAUCGAUGUCAUUGCUCUUGCAUUAAAAGAUAUUUAUGCAAACGAGCAAUACCAAAAUGUACUUCAAAUGAGUCGAAGAUAGGUUCAAUAUGGAGGGCUACACACUUAUAGAAUACAUCUGAUUCUGAACAGUGCACUUAAAAUGAUCGAUAGCUGUUAGAUAGUGUUAUGAUUAAUUGAAAAAAUGUAUUGAUGAUAUCUUCACAGGUCAUGAGGCUAGAAAAAUUCUGCUGACACCAAAUUUGGUAUUUGAUGUCGCAAGAAAUGUUCAUGGAUCCUCAUCUUCCGAAACGUCGAUGACCAGAACAAGAAAAGACACUAGGGAUUUUUUAAGCCACAGAAAAGGACAAAGAGUAAAGAUUUCAAGAAAACAGUUAGGGUGUCGUAUUGUGGUACUUCUCUUCCAUUACCAUUUACAAAGGAUCUUGUUGUAGGAGAGGGUAUUUUCACUUUCGCAUGUAAUGAUGAUGAAGAAACUCUGAAAAAAACCCAUUAUGGAAAUGCUCAAGAGUGGUCAUGAUGUUGGUGAAGAUUAUAUGAUGUGACAAUUCUUUCCUACACAGGAAAGGUCUUAUCAGUUCCAAGAAUUUCAGAACAGGGGAAUCCCCCAAAGCAAAUGUUGGCCAAGGAAAACUAUACAUUAUGGUGAAAUCUGCUGAGAGUAAAACACUUAUGUGGACCUGUUCCAAAAUGAGCCUAUUCAGCUGCUAGAUUCUUCAGAUUCUGAUGAGGAACUGCCGGAUAUUAAGGAAAGUGUCAUGAGUCUACAAGAGGAGUUGGUAUUAUUACGAUCACAAAUAGACCAUGAGCAGAUGACAAGAUUCAACAUCAACAGGCAUGAUGUAUUGGAUGGGACUAGAAGAGCCCUGCAUCACAAAUCAUUUUGUCCGAAUUGAAAAAUGUCAGUAAAAUUCACUGAUGAUUCUGGAAGUUCUGAGGGAGCAGUGGAUGAGGGUGGACCAAAACGUGAGCUUUUAUGUCUGCUCAUGCACACAGUUCAAAGCUUGAAUAUUUUUGAGGGACCAAGUACAGGAAGACUUUUGUCCAUGAAUCCUACGGCUCUUGAUUCUGGUCUGUACAAAGAUGUAGGAACAGUAAUAGCCAUAUCCAUUGUUCAUGGAGGACCACCUCCAAAAACUUUUUUCCACAUAAGCUGUUCUCCAUGUUAGUAGGAACAGCUAGAUGUUGAUUGCACAACAAAUGAUAUCAUGGAUGAUGACAUCAGAACAGAGAUAGUACAGGUAGUUUUUUUUUAAUCUUAGUUAAUAAGGCUUCAAAAUAAACAAUUAAAUAUCAUUUAUUUAAUUGCAUUUAUGACCUAUGCUUGUGGGUAUAUAUUCUAUAUUGAUAUCAGGGGUAGAAUUUAACUUUUUUAGUAACUCGCACGUUGUUGCGAGUGGAUAAAAUUUUAACUCACAAAAUUACAAACUUACUCGCAAUUUUGAAAUUAUGUGUUAACAUUAAAUAUAACAGAUGUUUUAUGAUAAUUGUUUUGUUUA
This is a long non-coding RNA of Pecten maximus, 1541 nucleotides long. RefSeq lists it as uncharacterized. NCBI's taxonomy places the organism in Eukaryota, Metazoa, Mollusca, Bivalvia, Pectinida, Pectinidae. The transcript has 4 exons. The record is from RefSeq and is a predicted model, not a curated record.